CCCCCCCUCGGAGUACGGCCGCAAGGUUAAAACUCAAAUGAAUUGACGGGGGCCCGCACAAGCGGUGGAGCAUGUGGUUUAAUUCGAUGCAACGCGAAGAACCUUACCUACUCUUGACAUCCAGAGAAUUCGCUAGAGAUAGCUUAGUGCCUUCGGGAACUCUGAGACAGGUGCUGCAUGGCUGUCGUCAGCUCGUGUUGUGAAAUGUUGGGUUAAGUCCCGCAACGAGCGCAACCCUUAUCCUUUGUUGCCAGCGCGUAAUGGUGGGAACUCAAAGGAGACUGCCGGUGAUAAACCGGAGGAAGGUGGGGAUGACGUCAAGUCAUCAUGGCCCUUACGAGUAGGGCUACACACGUGCUACAAUGGCGUAUACAAAGAGAAGCGAACUCGCGAGAGCAAGCGGACCUCAUAAAGUACGUCGUAGUCCGGAUCGGAGUCUGCAACUCGACUCCGUGAAGUCGGAAUCGCUAGUAAUCGUAGAUCAGAAUGCUACGGUGAAUACGUUCCCGGGCCUUGUACACACCGCCCGUCACACCAUGGGAGUGGGUUGCAAAAGAAGUAGAGGUUAACCUUCGGGAGGGCGCUUACCACUUUGUGAUUCAUGACUGGGGUGAAGUCG
This 619-nucleotide ribosomal RNA is filed under the name Serratia sp. PT19. RNAcentral describes it as "bacterial SSU rRNA". It matches the Rfam family "Bacterial small subunit ribosomal RNA", at positions 867 to 1488 of the family's 1533-position model. Lineage: Bacteria; Pseudomonadati; Pseudomonadota; Gammaproteobacteria; Enterobacterales; Yersiniaceae. The record is from RNAcentral.